RNAcentral lists this ribosomal RNA (376 nucleotides) under uncultured bacterium. Its description in RNAcentral is "bacterial SSU rRNA". It matches the Rfam family "Bacterial small subunit ribosomal RNA", at positions 523 to 897 of the family's 1533-position model. The record is from RNAcentral.
AUACGUAGGGGGCAAGCGUUAUCCGGAUUUACUGGGUGUAAAGGGAGCGUAGGUGGUUCGGUAAGUCAGAUGUGAAAGCCCGGGGCUCAACCCCGGGACUGCAUUUGAAACUAUCGGGCUAGAGUGCAGGAGAGGUAAGUGGAAUUCCUAGUGUAGCGGUGAAAUGCGUAGAUAUUAGGAGGAACACCAGUGGCGAAGGCGGCUUACUGGACUGUAACUGACACUGAUGCUCGAAAGCGGGGGGAGCAAACAGGUUUAGAGACCCUGGUAGUCCGCGCCGUAAACGAUGAAUACUAGGUGUCGGGGCCCUUCCGGGCUUCGGUGCCGCAGCUAACGCAAUAAGUAUUCCACCUGGGGAGUACGUUCGCAAGAAUGA